CAUCCUACGGGGGGCAGCAGUGGGGGAUAUUGCACAAUGGGGGAAACCCUGAUGCAGCGACGCCGCGUGGGCGAAGAAGUAUUUCGGUAUGUAAAGCCCUAUCAGCAGGGAAGAAGAAAUGACGGUACCUGAGUAAGAAGCACCGGCUAAAUACGUGCCAGCAGCCGCGGUAAUACGUAUGGUGCAAGCGUUAUCCGGAAUGACUGGGUGUAAAGGGAGCGUAGACGGUUGUACAAGUCUGAUGUGAAAGCCCACGGCUCAACUGUGGGAGUGCAUUGGAAACUGUAGAACUAGAGUAUCGGAGG
RNAcentral lists this ribosomal RNA (305 nucleotides) under uncultured bacterium. RNAcentral describes it as "bacterial SSU rRNA". It matches the Rfam family "Bacterial small subunit ribosomal RNA", at positions 335 to 655 of the family's 1533-position model. The record is from RNAcentral.